This 460-nucleotide ribosomal RNA is filed under the name uncultured bacterium. RNAcentral's name for it is "partial 16S ribosomal RNA". It matches the Rfam family "Bacterial small subunit ribosomal RNA", at positions 338 to 795 of the family's 1533-position model. The record is from RNAcentral.
CCUACGGGGUGCAGCAGUGAGGAAUAUUGGUCAAUGGGCGCGAGUCUGAACCAGCCAAGCCGCGUGAGGGAAGACGGUUCUAUGGAUCGUAAACCUCUUUUAUACGAGAGUAAAGUGUGGGACGCGUCCUAUUUUGUAUGUACCUUAUGAAUAAGGAUCGGCUAACUCCGUGCCAGCAGCCGCGGUAAUACGGAGGAUCCGAGCGUUAUCCGGAUUUAUUGGGUUUAAAGGGUGCGUAGGCGGUCGGAUAAGUAAGCGGUGAAAGUCUGUGGCUCAACCAUGGAAUUGCCGUUGAUACUGGGGGGCUUGAGAGUGUUUGAGGUAGGCGGAAUGUGUGGUGUAGCGGUGAAAUGCUUAGAGAGCACACAGAACCCCGAUUGCGAAGGCAGCUUACCAAGCUAUGACUGACGUUGAUGCACGAAAGCGUGGGGAUCAAACAGGAUUAGAUACCCGAGUAGUC